UCCCUGGCAGUCCAGUGGUUAGGAUUCAGCGCUUUCACUGCUAAGAGCCUAGGUUCAAUCCCUGGUCAGCGAA
This 73-nucleotide transfer RNA is filed under the name Bos taurus (domestic cattle). It matches the Rfam family "tRNA". Rfam says of the family: Transfer RNA (tRNA) molecules are approximately 80 nucleotides in length. Their secondary structure includes four short double-helical elements and three loops (D, anti-codon, and T loops). The record is from Rfam by way of RNAcentral. RNAcentral also lists the same sequence under 2 other names. Lineage: Eukaryota; Metazoa; Chordata; Mammalia; Artiodactyla; Bovidae.